GGGGCUGUAGCUCAGUGGCAGAGCACUUGCCUAGCAUGCAUGAGGUACUGAAUUCGAUCCUCAGCACCA
This 69-nucleotide transfer RNA is filed under the name Ictidomys tridecemlineatus (thirteen-lined ground squirrel). RNAcentral describes it as "Spermophilus tridecemlineatus (thirteen-lined ground squirrel) tRNA". It matches the Rfam family "tRNA". Rfam says of the family: Transfer RNA (tRNA) molecules are approximately 80 nucleotides in length. Their secondary structure includes four short double-helical elements and three loops (D, anti-codon, and T loops). Lineage: Eukaryota; Metazoa; Chordata; Mammalia; Rodentia; Sciuridae. The record is from Rfam by way of RNAcentral. RNAcentral also lists the same sequence under 1 other name.